GAAAUGCGAUAAGUAGUGUGAAUUGCAGAAUUCAGUGAAUCAUCGAAUCUUUGAACGCACAUUGCGCCCCUUGGUAUUCCAUGGGGCAUGCCUGUUCGAGCGUCAUUUGUACCUUCAAGCUCUGCUUGGUGUUGGGUGUUUGUCCCCGUCUCCGCGCGUGGACUCGCCCCAAAGUGAUUGGCAGCCGGCGUACUGGUCCCGGAGCGCAGCACAUGUCGCGCAAACGAGUGCCUUGGUACGGCGGCGUCCAUAAGCCCCUCUCUCACGCUCUUGACCUCGGAUCAGGUAGGGAUACCCGCUGAACUUAAGC
RNAcentral lists this unclassified non-coding RNA (310 nucleotides) under plant metagenome. RNAcentral describes it as "partial contains 5.8S ribosomal RNA, internal transcribed spacer 2, and large subunit ribosomal RNA". The stretch from base 1 to 105 matches the Rfam family "5.8S ribosomal RNA", at positions 50 to 154 of the family's 154-position model. The record is from RNAcentral.